UGUAAGCGUAUACCAAAGUUGUUGCAGUUAAAACGCUCGUAGUCGGAAUUUGGCAGUUCCGGAUGUGUGUACGUCGUGUGCGCACUUCGCGGGGAUUGCUUUUGUGGUCUUGCGUAGGAUGAGGCACUUUUAUUAGUGAACGUCCUCACGCAACCACUUUUUACUGUGAGAAAAUCAGAGUGCUCAAAGCAGGCAUUUGCCGUGAAUGUAUUAGCAUGGAAUAAUAGAAUAGGACUUGGUUCUAUUUUGUUGGUUUGUUGGGACUGAGUAAUGAUUAAGAGGGACAGUUGGGGGCAUUUGUAUUUCGGUGCUAGAGGUGAAAUUCUUAGAUUACCGAAAGACAAACUGCUGCGAAAGCGUCUGCCAAGGAUGUUUUCAUUGA
RNAcentral lists this ribosomal RNA (382 nucleotides) under uncultured eukaryote. RNAcentral describes it as "partial 18S ribosomal RNA". It matches the Rfam family "Eukaryotic small subunit ribosomal RNA", at positions 592 to 976 of the family's 1831-position model. The record is from RNAcentral.